AUUUUACAAGAUAUUUCAUUUAUUCAUCCAAUAAGCACUUACUGUUGACUGUUUACUGUUUUAGGCUAAGAGGAUUGAGCAGUGAAAAUGACAAUACCCCUUCUUACUUGGAGGUGGGCGAUUUUAGUUUGGGGUGUCUGGAAAGGUCUCUCAGAAGAGGAGACAUUUGAAAAAAUCUUAGUAUUGAAUAUGUAUGUAAGAUAGAACCCACAUAGGUGGACAGUGUGAAGGUUCAAAAAUAAGUGAAACAUGGUCCCUUGUCCUCAAGGUACUUCCAGUUCAGUACUAAAGAUAAAAUAUCCAUGUAAAUCAAUUCUUCAUUCAGACAGAUGUGCUAAGCUGGAAUCACAGAGGUUCAAACAAAAUCCUAUGGGAAUUUUUCCUGCUCUGUUCUUCAUCCAAAUUCCCAACUCUUCUUUUAUCCACUUUUUGGGAACAAAUCUUGAAGAUAACUCUAUCACAGUAACUCUUUAAAACAUUUGUUUGCUGUAUCAUAGUAACAGCUGUAGUAGAUGCAUUACGAGUCAUUAUCCCAGCUCUUUGAAUAUAGUAAAUAUCACAGAAUUAUUUGGCAUCCUGAAGACCAUCACCUUUGUCUGACUUGCUUCUCUGCUUUCCUCCUUGUGUGUAAACAGAAAGCAGUGAAAUGGACAUACAGGACUAGCGAUGUCUGGGUAGUUUGGGUAGUUCAUGUUUAUGGAAUGCUAAAGGACAGGUUUAAGGUUAAUCUGGAGGCGUAGGAUCCCAUAGCAAUACCUGGAUUUGCGCCAUCAGGCACUUCUUGCUUCGGAAAAGACACUUUUUUCAUCAUUCACUUUUUGUUUCUCUCCACAGAGCUUUUCAUCCCAUACCUUGAUAGCUCCGGGCUAAUGGAAUCUUGUGACUUUCGGUUCUCAUUGAUAAGAGGUCCUGAUGUAGACAUUGAUGAGUGGGACAUUCUCUGUUCGGAUACACAUCUUACAGCUUGCUCCAUAGAACAUAUUUUCAGGAGGAGGUCAAAACUACCACAUUUCUGGCUGUAGCUCUUCAAGGACAAGCACUUGUUAUCUCAUAGUUUCUGUGGUUCAGGAACCUGGAUGGGCUUAGCUGGGUGCCUCUGGCUCAGGAUCUUGGCCCUAGAAUCUUGAGGUAUCCACCAGGGCUGCAGUCUUAUCAAGGCUCUACUUCAGGAAGAUCCAUAUGAGCUCAUCCUCAUGGCUGUUGGCAGGCCUCUGGCCCUCACUUGUCAUUGGUUGGAGACUUCGCUUCUUUGCCAUUUGAGCCUCUCCACAGGACAGCUCACAGCAUGGCAGCUGGCUUCUCUCAGAGUAAAUGAACCAGUGAGAGACAGUGAGAAAGAGCACCCGAGA
RNAcentral lists this long non-coding RNA (1349 nucleotides) under Homo sapiens (human). Its description in RNAcentral is "HSALNT0074505". Lineage: Eukaryota; Metazoa; Chordata; Mammalia; Primates; Hominidae. The record is from RNAcentral.